Molecule: ribosomal RNA, 372 nt
Filed under: uncultured bacterium
Lineage: Bacteria
Description: bacterial SSU rRNA
Rfam family: Bacterial small subunit ribosomal RNA
Source: RNAcentral
UACGGAGGAUGCAGGCGUUAUCCGGAUUUAUUAGGUUUAAAGGGUGCGCAGGCGGUAUUAUAAGUCAGUGGUGAAAGUCUGCCGCUUAACGGUAGGAUUGCCAUUGAUACUGUAGUACUUGAGUGUAAUCGAGGCAGGCGGAAUGUGUCAAGUAGCGGUGAAAUGCAUAGAUAUGACACAGAACACCAAUUGCGAAGGCAGCUUGCUAGGCUACAACUGACGCUCAUGCACGAAAGCGUGGGGAUCAAACAGGAUUAGAUACCCUGGUAGUCCACGCUGUAAACGAUGAUAACUGGCUGUUGGCGAUAAACUGUCAGCGGCUGAGCGAAAGCAUUAAGUUAUCCACCUGGGGAGUACGACGGCAACGUUGAA